GACGUUCAACUCGCUCUUUUGGCAUUAUUGAAUAGAUUGACAAAGAAAUCGCCGAGUUCAGGUACCCUUGAACUCUCGUUCGACGUAUUAGGAUUAAUGCUAAGAUUUGAUUACUUGGCAAUGUUACGGAUUAAAGAAAUUCAAGAUGAGAGUCGCGAGAAAGAACUUUUUGUUUUUUCUUUAUUUUACAUUCAUCAUGUUUACAUAUUUAUGCAAAUAUAG
Molecule: long non-coding RNA, 222 nt
Filed under: Phoenix dactylifera (date palm)
Lineage: Eukaryota; Viridiplantae; Streptophyta; Magnoliopsida; Arecales; Arecaceae
Description: long non-coding RNA (PDAC_LNC000931)
Source: RNAcentral